Molecule: long non-coding RNA, 528 nt
Filed under: Gossypium barbadense (sea-island cotton)
Lineage: Eukaryota; Viridiplantae; Streptophyta; Magnoliopsida; Malvales; Malvaceae
Description: long non-coding RNA (GBAR_LNC017495)
Source: RNAcentral
UUCCAAGAAAAAUAUAACCACAUAACAACUCUUAGUUUGGAACAACUUCUACAUUGAGAACACUCACAUUUGAAACAAGUUAGAAUAAUUCUUUUUCAAGAACAACUCUCGUCUUUGUCUUGCAUUCCAAGAGAUGUUCUUUGGAAGAUCUUUCACAUAGUGCUACUUCACCAAAGUGGAAGUAACCCUAAAAUAUGGUAGAGAUAUUGGAUUAAUGUCUUCACUCUUGGGAUGUUCCGGAAAGUUUAGCUUGGUGGAUCAAAUAUGGAGGUAGCUAAAAGGUUUCCUCUUGACUUUUUCCUGUAACACCGUGCUUCUCCCUUCUUCCAGAAAUAAUCAACAUCACCAACAAAACCCUUUUAUUAAUAAAAGAACCAUCAAUAUCUUUGUAACUGAAAAAAAUAUCAUUCAUUACUCCUAUUAACUCUCAUUCUUGAGACACUAUAAAUAAGAACCUUUCACAACUGAUGAGAAGACUUUUGGCAUUUUGGACUCACAAAGUACUCUCUCUAAAGUUCUUAUAUCCAC